This 1478-nucleotide ribosomal RNA is filed under the name uncultured prokaryote. RNAcentral's name for it is "partial 16S ribosomal RNA". It matches the Rfam family "Bacterial small subunit ribosomal RNA". The record is from RNAcentral.
AUUGAACGCUGGCGGCAGGCCUAACACAUGCAAGUCGGGCGGAAACGAUGGAAGCUUGCUUCCAGGCGUCGAGCGGCGGACGGGUGAGUAACGCGUGGGAAUAUGCCCUUUAGUGGGGGAUAACUCGGGGAAACCCGAGCUAAUACCGCAUAAUCUCUAUGGAGUAAAGCAGGGGGGGAAAGCGGGGGAUCUUCGGACCUCGCGCUAUCAGAUGAGCCUGCGUUGGAUUAGCUAGUUGGUGAGGUAAUGGCUCACCAAGGCGACGAUCCAUAGCUGGUCUGAGAGGACGAUCAGCCACACUGGGACUGAGACACGGCCCAGACUCCUACGGGAGGCAGCAGUGGGGAAUAUUGGACAAUGGGCGCAAGCCUGAUCCAGCAAUGCCGCGUGUGUGAAGAAGGCCUGAGGGUUGUAAAGCACUUUCAGUAGGGAAGAAAGGUCUAACGUUAAUAGCGUUGGACUGUGACGUUACCUACAGAAGAAGCACCGGCUAACUCCGUGCCAGCAGUUGCGGUAAUACGGAGGGUGCGAGCGUUAAUCGGAAUUACUGGGCGUAAAGCGCACGUAGGCGGUUUAGUAAGUCGAAUGUGAAAGCCCUGGGCUCAACCUGGGAACUGCAUUCGAUACUGCUUAACUAGAGUAUGACAGAGGAAUGUGGAAUUCCGGGUGUAUCGGUGAAAUGCGUAGAUAUUAGAAGGAACAUCAGUGGCGAAGGCGACUGUCUGGGUUAACAUUGACGCUGAGGUGCGAAAGCGUGGGUAGCGAACAGGAUUAGAUACCCUGGUAGUCCACGCCGUAAACGAUGAGAACUAGAUGUUGGUUUCAUAAAAGAGAUUAGUAUCGUAGCUAACGCGUUAAGUUCUCCGCCUGGGGAGUACGGCCGCAAGAUUAAAACUCAAAGGAAUUGACGGGGGCCCGCACAAGCGGUGGAGCAUGUGGUUUAAUUCGAUGCAACGCGAAGAACCUUACCAUCCCUUGACAUCCAGAGAAUCUGUUAGAAAUAGUAGAGUGCCUUCGGGAACUCUGAGACAGGUGCUGCAUGGCUGUCGUCAGCUCGUGUCGUGAGAUGUUGGGUUAAGUCCCGCAACGAGCGCAACCCUUAUCUUUAGUUGCCAGCACAUAAUGGUGGGGACUCUAAAGAGACUGCCGGUGACAAGCCGGAGGAAGGUGGGGACGACGUCAAGUCAUCAUGGCCCUUACGGGAUGGGCUACACACGUGCUACAAUGGGCAGUACAAAUGGUCGCGAAGCCGCGAGGUGGAGCUAAUCUAAGAAAGCUGUUCGUAGUCCGGAUUGGAGUCUGCAACUCGACUCCAUGAAGUUGGAAUCGCUAGUAAUCGUAGAUCAGAAUGCUACGGUGAAUACGUUCCCGGGCCUUGUACACACCGCCCGUCACACCAUGGGAGUGGGUUGCAAAAGAAGUGGGUAGACUAACCUUCGGGGGGUCGCUCACCACUUUGUGAUUCAUGACUGGGGUGA